Molecule: small nuclear RNA, 183 nt
Organism: Camelus dromedarius (Arabian camel)
Lineage: Eukaryota; Metazoa; Chordata; Mammalia; Artiodactyla; Camelidae
Gene: U2
Rfam family: U2 spliceosomal RNA
About the family: U2 is a small nuclear RNA (snRNA) component of the spliceosome (involved in pre-mRNA splicing).
Source: Ensembl
AUCACUUCUCGGACUUUUGGCUAAGAUCAAGUGUAGUCUCCGUUCUUAUCAGUUUAAUAGCACUCUGUCAUCCAAUAUAUGAACGCAAUCUGUCUCUCCAUUUUUAUGGGACUUCUUAAUUUCUGUCUGUCAGCAUUAUUUUGUAGUACACAGGUCUUACGCAUCUUGUCAGAUUUACCCUUC